UGGGGAAUCUUGCACAAUGGGGGAAACCCUGAUGCAGCGACGCCGCGUGAGCGAUGAAGCCCUUCGGGGUGUAAAGCUCUUUCGGCAGGGACGAAAGUGACGGUACCUGCAGAAGCAGCUGCGGCUAACUACGUGCCAGCAGCCGCGGUAAUACGUAGGGGGCGAGCGUUGUCCGGAAUUACUGGGCGUAAAGGGUGCGUAGGCGGCUAAUUAAGUUGGAUGUGAAAUCCCCGGGCUUAACUUGGGUGGUGCAUUCAAAACUGGUUAGCUAGAGUGCAGGAGAGGGAAGCGGAAUUCCUAGUGUAGCGGUGAAAUGCGUAGAUAUUAGGAGGAACACCAGUGGCGAAGGCGGCUUUCUGGACUGUAACUGACGCUGAGGCACGAAAGCGUGGGGAGCAAACA
Molecule: ribosomal RNA, 402 nt
Filed under: uncultured bacterium
Lineage: Bacteria
Description: bacterial SSU rRNA
Rfam family: Bacterial small subunit ribosomal RNA
Source: RNAcentral